RNAcentral lists this ribosomal RNA (276 nucleotides) under uncultured fungus. RNAcentral's name for it is "partial small subunit ribosomal RNA". The stretch from base 145 to 276 matches the Rfam family "Eukaryotic small subunit ribosomal RNA", at positions 735 to 864 of the family's 1831-position model. The record is from RNAcentral. Lineage: Eukaryota; Fungi.
GCGUGUACUUUUUGAACUUGGUCGGCCGUCAAGGUCUUGUACCGUUCUGGUCACGUCCAUACCUGUAGGAUACUCACCUCUGUCCUUAACUGGGUGGUGGUCAACACACACAAAGAAAAGAGUUUUCUCUCUUCUCUCUGCGUGUGGGGGUUCCUACUCUUUUACUUUGAGCAAAUUAGAGUGUUCAAAGCAGGCAAUCGGGCCUUUGAAUACUUCAGCAUGGGAUAAUGGAACAGGACUGGGGUCCUGAUUUCGUUGGUUUCUGGGAUCUCAGUA